Molecule: small nuclear RNA, 104 nt
Organism: Heterocephalus glaber (naked mole-rat)
Lineage: Eukaryota; Metazoa; Chordata; Mammalia; Rodentia; Bathyergidae
Source: Ensembl
GUGCUUGCUUCAGUAGCACAUAUAAUAAAAUUGGAACGAUACAGAGAUUAGCAUGGCCUCUGUGCAAGGAUGACAUGCAAAUUCAUUAAGCAUUCCAUGGUUUU